GUUUGUGGAGGGUAAUUGUCUAGAAUGAAGUCGAUUUCUUCUCCGCUUAUUUCCUCCUGGCUGAUGAGAACCUUUACGGCUUUAAGCAACGCUGCAUGGUGCCUCUGGAGCAUAGCCAAUGUCCUAUCAUACAUGUCACGUACCAGCUCUUCAGUUCUCCAAGCAACUUCGUCAUCUAAUUUUAAAUUCAGUGGUGGUUCGGUUAGAUCGUAGUCAUCAUAAAGAGAGCCUUCAAAAUCCAACCUAGGACCAACAAACUUCACUUUCU
RNAcentral lists this unclassified non-coding RNA (268 nucleotides) under Hevea brasiliensis (rubber tree). Lineage: Eukaryota; Viridiplantae; Streptophyta; Magnoliopsida; Malpighiales; Euphorbiaceae. The record is from RNAcentral.